RNAcentral lists this ribosomal RNA (868 nucleotides) under fungal endophyte sp. P51-032. RNAcentral's name for it is "eukaryotic LSU rRNA". The stretch from base 562 to 715 matches the Rfam family "5.8S ribosomal RNA". The record is from RNAcentral. Lineage: Eukaryota; Fungi.
UACCUCUGUUUCCUCCGGCGUACAAGCGCCCUGGCCUACCUACAGGGCCUCCCCCCCCUAAGGGGGGUUGACCUGCUAGGGAGGUGCCUAGCUGAUCAGUACCUAAUCCUUCGGGCUCUGGGUAGCUGUGAUAAGGUGCCGACCAAGGCCUCGGUAGCGCGCCGAGAGGACCGCUCGAAGCUCUUUUUCUCCAACUCUUGCUAGAACAAACCCUUAUCGAAGGAACUAUUCCAAUAAAAACCACUCGAAAAAAAUAUCGAAGAAAAUUAUCGAAGUAACUAUCGAAGAAAUUAUCCAAGAUUCUUUUUUUUACGGCUAUUAAUGAUUUAUGACUUACUGCUGUUUCUUUUCGCUCGAAGGUCUUUCCCGGUUGGAAUUGUAUUCUCGUAGUGCAAUUUUUACCCUAUAGGCGUUCGUGUUUUAGGGAGGCUGUAGUGUGUUUUUAUUUCCUUUAGCUCAAACGUGUUUCCCGGUUGGAAUUAAAUCUCGACAAGAACUGUUCUAGUCUAGGGUCUGAAUAACCUUAAACUUUUUUUGCAUAAAAACAAAUUUUUACUUUAAAACUUUCAACAACGGAUCUCUUGGUUCUGGCAUCGAUGAAGAACGCAGCGAAAUGCGAUAAGUAAUGUGAAUUGCAGAAUUCAGUGAAUCAUCGAAUCUUUGAACGCACAUUGCGCCCAUUAGUAUUCUAGUGGGCAUGCCUAUUCGAGCGUCAUAACAACCCUUAAGCCCUGUAGCUUAGCGUUGGGAACCUACCGCUUAGGCGGUAGCUCCUUAAAUUUAGUGGCGGAGUUACAGCACACCCUAAGCGUAGUAAAACUACCUCGCUUUCAGGGAGCCUGUAGCGGCCUGCCGUUAAAAAACCCCC